Molecule: long non-coding RNA, 4318 nt
Filed under: Homo sapiens (human)
Lineage: Eukaryota; Metazoa; Chordata; Mammalia; Primates; Hominidae
Description: HSALNT0314289
Source: RNAcentral
CUCAAGUUCGGGAGGCGUUACCUGCGGAGGGUUUGAGGCAGGCCCAGGAGCGAGCCCACGGUCUGCCGACGCGGGGCCAGCGGCGGGCCCCAGGAUCCGGAGCUUCGGGCGGGGCCGAGUCCAGGCAGGAAUCGGAGUGCCGUAGUACAAUCACAGCUCACUGCAGCCUCAAACUCCUGGGUUCCAGCGAUCCUCCCGCCUCAGCCUCCCCAGUAGCUGGGGCUACAGCCCAGUAAAGGCGCCAUUCCCCAUUUUACAGCUGGGGAAACUGAGUUACAGAGCUUGUCUACACUGAGUCAACAGGAGCAAAUGCUAGAUCAGGUCUAGCUGGAGUACAGUGAUGCAGUCAUAGCCCACUGCAGCCUCAAAAUUCCUGGGCUCAAGCAAUCCACCCACAUCAGCUUCCCAAGUAGUUGGGACUACAGGCCCACACUACUAUACCCAGGAUCUCUCUCUCUCUGCCACCCAGGCCAGAGCGCAGUUGAUGCAGGUCAGGGGAGCCCCCCAGUGGAGCAUAGUGUGUCCAGAACUGGUGGGUUGUUGGUCUCACUGACUUCAAGAAUGAAGCCACGGACCCUCGGGGUGAGCGUCACAGUUCUUAAAGGCGGUGCGUCCGGAGUUUUUUCCUUCUGAUGCUCGGAUGUGUUCAGAGUUUCUUCCUUCUGGUGGGUUGCUGGUCUCACUGGCUUCAGGAGUGAAGCUGCAGACCUUCAAGGCUGGAGUGCAAUGGUGCCAUCUCAGCUCGCUGCAACCUCUGCCUUCUGGAUUAAAGCAAUUCUCCUGCCUCAGCCUCCCGGGUAGCUGGGAUUACAGGUGCACACCACCACGCCCGGCUAAUUUUUUGUAUUUUUAAUAGAGACAGGGUUUUGCCAUGUUGGCCAGGCUGGUCUCAAACCCCUGACCCUGUGAUCUGCCCGAUUUGGCCUCCCAAAGUCCUGGGAUUACAAACAUGAGCCACCGUACCCAGCCACUCUUGAUUAACUUAAUGGAAAUAUUUAGAGAUUCUUUCUUUUCUGGGUUCUAGAGUCUUCUCUGUAACCUCUGCAGGUAAUACAUUUUCCUUCCUGAUAAAGCAUUUCUAUGGUUGCUUUCACUUGCAAAUCCUCUAAUACUUAUUUAUUCCAUUUCUGAUUGGCAUUAGACAUAAUUCUCAAUUUUUAGUGACAGCACUUUUGUUAACUUACAUAUAAAUCGACUUUGCCUUGAAAUGUGACAUUGACUAGAAGGACGACACUUCUAACAUGUUGUAGAACAUAGUUUGACUGGCUAAUUUAUUAUUUAGAAGAAGCUAAUAUUGCCAUUAUGAGGGACUUAGGUGGCUCUGAAGAACAAGUUGUAUUUCUGAUGUUUGCAAUGUUAAAUCACAGAUAUUGCCAAUGUGAAAUAGUUUCCGUAUGCUGUGUUCUCAAUACACACCUUUUCCAAGGAUAUCCCAAGCUGUAGUCUUAGGAAACUGUGAUUUUUCUUAUUUGGUCUCAUAGGAAUUUGGGGAGCUAUGCGGGAUCUCCAUAAAAUGAGCUCCAGAAAGACACAUGUGUGCGCGCACACACACACACACACACACACACACUCACACAUGUACCGCACCACAAUUGAAUCUGUUUAUUUGGGACCCAUGAUUAUUUUCAACAAACACUUCUGAGAAAUAAUCUGAACACUUAAUUGGAUGCAAAAGAGUGAGUAUUUACUAUUCUACCCUUUAAUUAGCAUAAUCAAUGUUUCCAGCAGCAAAAGCAAUUGGAAAAUCGCUAGUUUUAUUAGGUUCAUUAUUCUCCCUUAGCGUAGUGUGGCAUCAGCAUGGCUAUUAUUCUUAAAUUGCCUCCUUAAAACAAGGGCUGGUGCUUCUUACAGGCCAUUCCUAACUCUUGGGUUUUGUAGAGAGUCCAAAACUCUUUAGAACCUAUAAUUCAAGGAAAGGCUCCACUUUGGUUUUGCAUUUUGUCUGGUCUCUUUGGCUGACAGAAUUUAUGUCAAAAGGUGCACAUGUUUGUGGGAGGCUCAUGGACAGCCCAUCACGUUUGUGCUUUGGUAGGAAGUACGUGCCAUUAAGGGGAAGGAGUUAGUUACUGAUUCUAGGGAACAAUUGGGUAGAAAGAGAUGGACUCCCUGUGUUUGAAAUUCAGAACUCAAGCUUGGCUCUAAGUGUUUCCUUGCUUUGCUGUGCUCCAGGGGAGUCCUUGAGCAGAAGGAAGCAAGUUGCCUGAGAUUCUUCAAAGCCCGCAGCCCUUUUGGAGGUUAGAUGGUUAUUCUCAGAGCCUUUAUGAUGCAUAAUAAAGACCUAGCUUGGACCAAUAUUAGGAUGAGUUAUCUUGCUAUUAACAUUCUUUUAGGUAGAAGUUGCUGGUCCCAUCUUGCUCACAAUCCUCCAAAGUUUGAAAGUUAUUUUCCAGGAGACUUGGCUUGCACUGAGAGCUGCCCUCCCACCCUCUCUCCAAAUUUCCUCUUGGGGGUAGCCUAACAAGGUGCUGUCACAGACCCUUGUCGGCCACGAUGACCCCACCCAGACCAUCCCUCUGCUGUUUCACUCUUUGAUAGUCUCUGGAGCUCUCUGGGGAGGGGUGAGACCUGCCGUCUAGUUUGUAUGGUUUGCCCAGGUCUUACAGUCAUGGCUGGCUGCCUCUCUCUGAGAACUAGAACUCCUGAACUUGGUGAAAGACCUCAGCCAUCGAUCAUGUUGAAUUAUCGGGGACACUCAUUUGAAAUCCGAGCCUGUUCCAGAUAGACUCUCUCUCUUUCUGCCCUGACCGUGAGAGAAGCCCUGCUGGACGGUGGAGACACUCGUGGGCUGUGAGCAAGGGAUGCAAAGGCUGCCGGGAAUCCCAUCUUUCCAGCAUCAUCUGCCAAGGCACAUUAGUUCCUGGGUAUCUGGAUGGGUUCUAGCAGCAUUACUGUCAUUGAAGGAAAAAUUUUAGCCAUAUUAAAGGUUAAUGCAGCAAUCUCCACAUAGGCUGCCUGGAAGGGAAGCAGGACAAGGUUAGGUUUUCCUUGUGAUGGACAGGAGGCAGGCGGCCCUCCCACAGCCCUGCCUGGCAAUACAGAUGUGUCCCCAAAAGGCACUGGGGGCCAGCUGGAGUGCUAUGCCGAGGCGGACUGACCCGGGCCGUGGGUUCACUCUGCUGGCAGCGGUUUCCCGCCAGCUCCUUGCAGAGUUGGCAGAUGGCCCAGCCCCACAGCAGGAGCCGGGAAUGGCAGAACGAGACACAACAAUUUGAUAUCCACUUGCCAGAUGAGCCGGGUGUCAUCAGUCGCCUGGCUCUAUGCCCAACCUCUUUUUGCAUAAACACUUAUGGAUUCAGCCAAGAGGAAAAGCACUCUGAUUAUGAAUUGAGCAGAAGGAAACAAAGUUCUGCAGAUAAACACCAAUGAAACAAAAAACCACGAAUAAGAAAAAUGACAGAAAAGGAGAACCUUCCCAGAAUCCUCCUGCCAGUGAACGGUCACCAGAGCAAGAGCAUGGAGUCCCUGGGUUUUGAACUGUGAGAUAAGGAAGAUGAUGAAAACCUCCCUAGCAGCCAGCCAGGUACUAUUCUAGAUUGUCUUGUGAUAUUUACAAUCUAGGAGAAGGCAGGAGAGAGAACUAAGAACAGAGAGCAUGUUCUGAGAUGUCUGCUGUGUUUGCAGACUUAGAUUUUUGGCUGGACUAUUGGCUUGGGAUAGAUGAAAAUCAUUCCUUGUAUCCCCUGAUCUUAAAGUCAAGACUGAACCAGCCUCCAGAUGCAAGCCUUCAUGGGGCUUCAGAUACCAUGAGGAAUGGGCGUCCCUGCAAUAUUGUCAUGGCUGUCAAAAGUGUUAUUGGAGCUGGAAACUCCUGGAGGGCAGAGCCAUGCCUGCCAUUUUCAUCAUUGCAUUACCACCACCCAGCACAGUGCCUGGUACAAAAGAGUUGCUCAAUAAAUAAAUCAGGAUGAAUGGACAAAUACACGGAUAGGCACUUUGAACUACAGAUGAGCUUAAAUACUUUGUGUUUUUCUUAGUCAAACAUGUGCAAUUAAGCAUGUGAUAAAUUAUAUGAUGACCACACCUGUGUCUUGCCUGAUGUUCUUUGCAAUCACUAAACAAAGUCAAUUUUGCCUGUUUUGACAGUUCUGUUUUCAACCUAAUGAUCCGUUUCUUUUAACUUCUGGCUGUUGGCUUUGUUUGGGUUUGUUAGCCUGACAAAGUGGCAGAUAUUGGUAUUUGCUCUUUUGUUUAAAUGUCACGAACUUUAAAAAUGCCUUUGCUUUUGGUAAGAAACCCUAGUUAGGACAGUCUAGUGGUCAGGAUGAUUUGGGUUCUGAUGCAGUAACAACAACCCCCAAAUCUCAGUGGCUCCAUGCGG